This 379-nucleotide ribosomal RNA is filed under the name uncultured bacterium. Its description in RNAcentral is "bacterial SSU rRNA". It matches the Rfam family "Bacterial small subunit ribosomal RNA", at positions 28 to 408 of the family's 1533-position model. The record is from RNAcentral.
GACGAACGCUGGCGGCGUGCUUAACACAUGCAAGUCGAGCGGUAAGGCCCUUUCGGGGGUACACGAGCGGCGAACGGGUGAGUAACACGUGGGUGACCUGCCCUCAGCUCUGGGAUAAGCCUGGGAAACCGGGUCUAAUACUGGAUAUGACUCCAUGACGCAUGUUGUGGGGUGGAAAGCCUUGUGCGGCUGAGGAUGGGCCCGCGGCCUAUCAGCUUGUUGGGUGGGGGAUGGCCUACCAAGGUGACGACGGGUAGCCGGCCUGAGAGGGCGACCGGCCACACUGGGACUGAGACACGGCCCAGACUCCUACGGGAGGCAGCAGUGGGGAAUCUUGCGCAAUGGGCGAAAGCCUGACGCAGCGACGCCGCGUGAGGGA